This is a long non-coding RNA of Mercenaria mercenaria, 635 nucleotides long. RefSeq lists it as uncharacterized. The record is from RefSeq and is a predicted model, not a curated record. The transcript has 2 exons. NCBI's taxonomy places the organism in Eukaryota, Metazoa, Mollusca, Bivalvia, Venerida, Veneridae.
UUAUGGCCUUUAAAAGUAGAAACCCCUCCCAGAGUAAACCCCUGUUGUCUUGUAAUUUAACCCUUUAUAAACAUGAAACCUCUAAAACAACAAAAUCCUUUUAUCCCAAUACUGUUUGUUUAUAGCAUUACAAUUUAUACAUAAUCAAAGUCUCAAAAUUGUUUUUAUGGCAUGUUGUAUGAGAAUGCAUUUUAUGUUUAGAAUUCUGGGAGUUCAAAGGUCACAAGUACAAACUGCACUAAGAAAUGGGAUGAUGGUUGUGAAUGGACUUGUGAGUGUGUUGAUGACAAGAUAGGUCACCGUGGCCCAGUAGUUAAGGCGUCCACCUCGGGAUCAGGAGGUUGAUGGUUCAAGCCCCGUAGGGAGCGUUCGUGUGGGGGAUGUUUGUCAUGGGACUCAUUCCGAAAAAGCCUGUUCGUGAGCCGCGAGCUAGUUAAAUGAAUAGUUACUUACUUCUAUCCGCCUUGCAUAGAGAUGCCCACCAUGUGUGAACUUGCCAUCAAACUGGCGGCUGGUAAAAGAUGCUGCCAAACCCUGCUGUAAAAUCCCGACCUGUAGCCCCACACCAUCUCCCCUAACAACAAAGGGACCAGGACUUCUGCCCAUGACUACAGUACCAACAAAGAGACCACAAA